UCUUGACGCGUUGAAGGAGAGGUCAAAGUGGGAGCACGAAGGAAAAUCAAUCCCCUCCUCAGUUCCACCCCCAAUGGCUUCGCCGGCGGCGCCCUUCCCCGAUGCCCCGGCGGCGCCGCCUUGCUGCCCCGACGCUUCGGCGGCCCCGCCCUGCAGCCCCGACGCCUCGCCGGCCAUGGAGGCGCAGGCGAGCCCCUCCCGGACCACCUCACGGAGGACAUCCUGCUGCGCCUCACCACGGCCGCCGACCUCGCCCGCGCCUCCAUGGCCGGCCCCUCCCUCCGCCGCAUCGUCGCCGACCACUCCUUCCUCCGUCGCUUCCGCACCCUCCACCCGCCGCCUCUCCUGGGUAUACUCUCGGAUCCCUUCUUCCCAGCCCAGCCGCCCCACCCCUCCGCCGCCGCCGCGCGAACCCUCGCCGGCACCGACUUCUCCUGCUCCUUCCUCCCCUCCCGCGACCGGACCUGGGUUCGUCACGACUUCCGCGACGGCCGCGCCCUCCUCUGCGCCGCCACCGACGACCACUGCCUGGCGAGGGACGUCGCCGUCUGCGAUCCGCUGCACCGGCGCUACCUCCUGCUACCCCCCGUCCCCCAGGACCUGUCCGAUCUGGUCUAUCACUGCGAGCCCUUUCUUGCUCCUGCCGGCGGCGACCAGGAUACUGACAUUGCUGCCGAUGCUCCCUUAAGGUUCAGAGUAAUGUGUUUGGCCAAAUACCAGACCCAGCUGGUCCUAUUCGUCCUCUCUUCGUCAGGCCCUCUUGCCGAACAAUGGCGCACCGUCGCAUUUGAUGGCUGGAGCGCUCUGGUUGCAGAAGUUAGUGAAGGCGAAGAUGUGCGAUCCUCCACUGCGUUCGGAGAGCGCUACUACGCGCACGGAUGCUUCUGCUGGGCGAUACCUGGAAUCAGCAAGGUGCUCAUGCUCGACAUUGCCACGAUGGAGUUCUCCUCCGUCGACCUCCCGCCUAGUCCCUGGAGUAAUUCCCAGAUGGCCUUUGUGGAGGCAAGGGAAGGGAGGCUUGGGUUGUUUGCUCUCAGCCACAAUCUCCUCUUGUAUUCCAUUUCGGGGAGCAUUGAGGAUGACCCCCCAAGGCUGUGGCUAAUGGGGGCUGUAGUCCCGUUGCCCCUUGAUUACGCCUAUUACAUCAUUGGUGUAGCUGGGGGAUUCUUACUCCUACAUGGGUUUCAAGACGACCCGGAAUCGUACCCUUCGUCUGAAAUGCCAGAUCCGGACUGUUUUUCACUGAAUCUCCAGACUAUGAAGCUUGAGUGGUUUUGUGGGACUGAGCUCAUGAUGCCAUUGAAGAACCAACUACUGUAUGCGGGUUUCCCGCCAUCCUUGUCUCCACCAACUAUUUGAAGCGGGCUUAAUCCGCUGCGUAUUUUGGACUCACUUUGCUUCUGGCUGAUGAUUGCAAGGAAGGAUGACACACACAUCAAGCAAUUGUCUGCGUAUCGCCUCCGGUCCUUUCAUGUCCUCAAAGCCCACAUGCAUGCUAGCUACAUGUUGGUUGAUUUGGCAUGUGUGCGCAACCUGAGUGCGUUCAUAUUAGAUGGGUAGAUGGGCCGUCCACCGGCCGGCCUGCCUCGUGUAUAUUAGAGAUGGGUGCUGCAGACUGCAGUCUCUCUAGCUACUGUUAAUCCGCAUGUGUUUCUUCCAUGUAGUCUCUCUUGUUUGUUGCUGUUAUUUGGCCAUUUGUAAAUUGCUAGCGGUGCCAAGUCCUAGAGGCAGAUGAUGGGGAUCCUAAGCUUAGAGAGGCGGUGGGUUCGAAGGGGCUUCGGCCUGCGACGGCUCUUUCCUCGCGGCCUUGAUGCCUAAUGGGAGGCAGUGCUGCUACGAGAGGGAGUCUCCGGUGCUCCACCGUAGGGGUCUUGCCGGAGCAAGAGGUUUGUCCCCGGCGCUGGCGAAGAUUGGUUCCAUCAAAGAGCAGCUGGACACGGUCGUGUUUUCUGUUUACUUUCAGGGUUCUUUCCAGAACAGUUGAGUCUGUUAUUUUUCAGUUUCUUUGGGAUGCAAGAUGUACUGCCAGCAGCUUUGAUCAAUGAAGUGAUGGGUCCUUCUGGACCCUAACCCUUGUUCAAAAAAGAAUGCAUCCAUUUGUCGACGAAUUGUUUGUAACAUACAUCAUCUCCUCUUCUUAUGUUUGGCAGAUGCAGCUUUUUUUAGUAGACACAUGGAUGUAGAUGCAUCCACUUGUUUGGAUUACAACACAGCUAUAAUCUAUGAUGACAACUUAUAAUGUAUCA
Molecule: RNA transcript, 2246 nt
Organism: Aegilops tauschii subsp. strangulata
Lineage: Eukaryota; Viridiplantae; Streptophyta; Magnoliopsida; Poales; Poaceae
Source: RefSeq, a predicted model, not a curated record